This 840-nucleotide long non-coding RNA is filed under the name Ananas comosus (pineapple). Its description in RNAcentral is "long non-coding RNA (ACOM_LNC010583)". The record is from RNAcentral. Lineage: Eukaryota; Viridiplantae; Streptophyta; Magnoliopsida; Poales; Bromeliaceae.
CGUUGGUGUGCGCAAGAUCCGGAGAAGAUAAAAGAGAGGUUUGAGUCCGUGGAUUCGGUAAAUCACCUUGUAAUCUUUUAUUUCAUAAUGGAUUGUUAUCGCGUGUUGGUCCCGUGGAUUUUUUACUCCUUGUUGGAGUUUUUCCACGUAAAUCUCGGUGUGCUGGUUUUUAUUUUCCGCAUUUAUUUUUUAUCGCAUUGAGAUUUGUUGUUUUUGGCUUUUACACCUAUUCUCCUAUCUCUAGGUGUUUUGAUAGUAUUCUAGAUAAAAGAUCCUAAGGUUUCCGCAUAACUUACACAUUAGGCACAUAUUCAAAAAAUUAACAAGAUUGAAAUAUUAUCCUCGACAUAACGGGAUCGAAAACUUCGCUAUACUCGUAAUCAUCACCUAGUGUUGGUUCAAAAUAUUACAAUCUUAUUAAUUUUCUAUUAAUUUUGAAACUUAUCCAAAAGUUGGAUCAUCCAUUUUGAAAGAACAUAUCCUUUUCUUUUAAAAAAAAUAAUUAUUUAUUUAUUUUGAGAACUUAUCUCAUAAUAUCACCACACAGAUAAAAAAAUAAGUACUUAUGUCAAAAUUUAAAUUAAAAAAACGUCGACGCUGCGCAAAACUUAUUUCUUUACACGGCCUUAAUUAUUACAUCACUUUUUGCAUACUAAAACCAACUACCUCACUAUAAGAUGUACAUCAGAAAAGGAAUGUUCUACCGGAAUGCUACACACGUCGAACCCGUUUUUCCAAAAUUAAAUUUUGUUGAAAAAACACCGAAAUAACUUAAGUACUUAUAUGCCAAAAAUUUAUACAAUCACAUGCUACAUAAGCAAUUAAAAUGCACCCACAUGG